UAUCAGGUAGUAGUGGGUCUAGAGUACCUACUAGCCUACGACGGGUACGGGUUGCGAGAGCAAGAGCCCGGAGAUGGAUUCUGAGUCAUGAAUCCAGGCCCUACGGGGCGCAGCAGGCGCGAAAACUUUACAAUGCGGGAAACCGCGAUAAGGGGACACUGAGUGCCAGCAUAUUAUGUUGGCUGUCCACAUGUGUAAACGGCAUGUGAUAGCAAGGGCCGGGCAAGACCGGUGCCAGCCGCCGCGGUAACACCGGCGGCCCGAGUGGUGAUCAUUAUUAUUGGGUCUAAAGGGUCCGUAGCCGGUUUGAUCAGUCUUUUGGGAAAUCUGACAGCUCAACUGUUAGGCUUCUAAGGGAUACUGUCAAACUUGGGACCGGGAGAGGUAAGAGGUACCACAAGGGUAGGAGUGAAAUCUUGUAAUCCUUGUGGGACCACCAGUGGCGAAGGCGUCUUACCAGAACGGGUCCGACGGUGAGGGACGAAAGCUGGGGGCACGAACCGGAUUAGAUACCCGGGUAGUCCCAGCCGUAAACGAUGCUCGCUAGGUGUC
Molecule: ribosomal RNA, 552 nt
Filed under: uncultured archaeon
Lineage: Archaea
Description: bacterial SSU rRNA
Rfam family: Archaeal small subunit ribosomal RNA
Source: RNAcentral